Molecule: ribosomal RNA, 511 nt
Filed under: uncultured fungus
Lineage: Eukaryota; Fungi
Description: SSU rRNA
Rfam family: Eukaryotic small subunit ribosomal RNA
Source: RNAcentral
AGCAGCCGCGGUAAUUCCAGCUCCAAUAGCGUAUAUUAAAGUUGUUGCAGUUAAAAAGCUCGUAGUUGAAUUUCGGGGUUAGUAGGUUGGUCAUGCCUCUGGUAUGUACUGGUCUCACUGAUUCCUCCUUCCUUAUGAACCGUAAUGCCAUUAAUUUGGUGUUGCGGGGAAUUUGGACUGUUACUUUGAAAAAAUUAGAGUGUUUAAAGCAGGCUAACGCUUGAAUACAUUAGCAUGGAAUAAUGAAAUAGGACGUUCGAUCUUAUUUUGUUGGUUUCUAGGAUUGACGUAAUGAUUAAUAGGGAUAGUUGGGGGCAUUAGUAUUCAAUUGUCAGAGGUGAAAUUCUUGGAUUUAUUGAAGACUAACUACUGCGAAAGCAUUUGCCAAGGAUGUUUUCAUUAAUCAAGAACGAAAGUUAGGGGAUCGAAGACGAUCAGAUACCGUCGUAGUCUUAACCAUAAACUAUGCCGACUAGGGAUCGGAUGAUGUUAAUUUUUUAAUGACUCAUUC